RNAcentral lists this ribosomal RNA (253 nucleotides) under uncultured bacterium. Its description in RNAcentral is "partial 16S ribosomal RNA". It matches the Rfam family "Bacterial small subunit ribosomal RNA", at positions 524 to 776 of the family's 1533-position model. The record is from RNAcentral.
GACGGAGGGUGCAAGCGUUGUUCGGAAUUACUGGGCGUAAAGGGCGCGUAGGCGGUCUGUUAAGUUCGGUGUGAAAGCCCCCGGCUCACCUGGGGAACUGCGCCGGAAACCGACAGACUCGAGUACCGGAGAGGAGGGUGGAAUUCCUGGUGUAGCGGUGAAAUGCGUAGAUAUCGUAAGGAAGACCAGUGGCGAAGGCGGGUCUCUGGACAGUUCCUGACGCUGAGGCACGAAGGUCAGGGGAGCAAACGGG